ACAGCCAUGCACUUCCAAAGUGAUGUGGCAAUGAAUUGCUGUGUGCCAGGAUUCCAUUCCCAUCUGAGCAUCAAAGGUAUUCAAUUCCCAAAGGUGUUUGAGGAUAUUAGAUGCCUAGAAAACUGUGGUGGGAGGAAUUUGAACAGGCAACCCCCAAAGACGGGAGACCUUUAUGGAAGUGCAACAUUUUCUACCCAGGAGCGGAGAGCUUGACAAUGAGAGAUUUAGAGCUGGUCCAACAGAUUGCCAGACUUUUAACUGGAACAAUAGCAGCUCUCAUAGAUGAUGAUGAUGAUGAUGAGGCCACCAAAUGGAUGUCAUCUGUUUAAACCAGAUGAUUCAGAGAAGUCUUUCUCAGCAUCUCUCCUUCUUCUCAGCUUUGUAAAAGGAUUUAUGCAACACAAAUAAUUUUUCACCAUGCUAGACACUGGAUAUCCCUUCACGAAUACUAAAUAUACUGCCCAGAGAACCAAAAAAGCACAUAUGCAAGGGCUUAAUUUUAGGCAG
Molecule: long non-coding RNA, 507 nt
Organism: Corvus hawaiiensis (hawaiian crow)
Lineage: Eukaryota; Metazoa; Chordata; Aves; Passeriformes; Corvidae
Exons: 5
Source: RefSeq, a predicted model, not a curated record